RNAcentral lists this ribosomal RNA (372 nucleotides) under uncultured Glomeromycotina. RNAcentral describes it as "SSU rRNA". It matches the Rfam family "Eukaryotic small subunit ribosomal RNA", at positions 569 to 948 of the family's 1831-position model. The record is from RNAcentral. Lineage: Eukaryota; Fungi; Glomeromycota.
AGCAGCCGCGGUAAUUCCAGCUCCAAUAGCGUAUAUUAAAGUUGUUGCAGUUAAAAGCUCGUAGUUGAAUUUCGGGGUUAGUAGGUUGGUCAUGCCUCUGGUAUGUACUGGUCUCACUGAUUCCUCCUUCCUGAUGAGCCGUAAUGCCAUUAAUUUGGUGUUGCGGGGAAUUUGGACUGUUACUUUGAAAAAUUGAGUGUUUAAAGCAAGCUAACGCUUGAAUACAUUAGCAUGGAAUAAUGAAAUAGGACGUUCGAUCCUAUUUUGUUGGUUUCUAGGAUUGACGUAAUGAUUAAUAGGGAUAGUUGGGGGCAUUAGUAUUCAAUUGUCAGAGGUGAAAUUCUUGGAUUUAUUGAAGACUAACUACUGCGA